AAAGCAUUAGUCAUCCAUCUGAGGAGAAAGGGGGGGUUAGAUGCAUACUAUAACUGAAAUGGUUGGCAAGGAUCAAUGCUAUUGGGACUACACAGAAGUAGUGAGAAUAGGAGCAAAGCUGCUGCUUUGAAAGGGGAAGAAAAUGAGCUGGAGGAAUUGGGGUAUCAUUGAGCCUGGGGUGUAUCUCAAAGUUGGUAUUCAUUUCUGAGCAGCUGCUAAUAUGUCAGUGGCUUGGGAUUGGCAUGGUAAAUCUAAAGCUGAAAAGUGAUUAGCUAACCUCACCCAAGUUCUAAGCCCUACUCUGGCCUGAUCCUUUUUCCUGAGCCUCAGAGCUAAAAUGCUCUUGAGCUCUUGCCUGUUGGCUGGGAAGACCAAUUGAAGUUCCCUUGCCCAUGUUAGGAGGUAUACGCCUCCUGAACUAAAGAUAGAAACAGCUGGCCCUUCUAGGCAGCUGAAAACCUCCAGACUAAGAGGUGUUACCCACUCAACAGCCAGGCUCCUUGAAAUACCCUUUCUUUAAUUCUACCAACGCCUCUAUGUCUCUACUCUGCCAUAACAAAGGCUGUGGGCAGCACUUUGACCCCAAUACCAACCUUUCUGAUUCCUGUUGCCAUCACCCUGGUGUCCCAAUCUUUCAUGAUGCGCUUAAGGGUUGGUCCUGCUGCCGGAAGCGAACUGUAGAUUUCUCUGAAUUCUUAAGCAUCAAGGGCUGUACUAUGGGACCACAUUGUGCUGAGAAGCUCCCUGAGGCCCCACAACCUGAGGGCCCUGCCACAAGCAGUUCACUUCAGGAGCAAAAAGCUCUGAAUACGAGUCCAAAGUCAGCAGAGACUUUGCGCCGGGAGAGGCCCAAGUCAGAGUUUCCUCUAAAGCUGCUGCCACUAAAUAUAUCCCAAGCCCUGGAAAUGGCAUUGGAACAGAAGGAACUAGACCAGGAACCUGGGGCAGGACUUGACAGUAGUCUGUUCCGGACUAGUUCCUGCUGCCAGAACCCAGGAUGUGAUGCUGUUUACCAAGGCCCUGAGAGUGAUGUUACUCCAUGUACCUACCACCCAGGAGCACCCCGGUUCCAUGAGGGGAUGAAGUCUUGGAGCUGUUGUGGCAUCCAGACCCUGGAUUUUGGGGCAUUCCUGGCACAGCCAGGAUGCAGAGUUGGUAGACAUGACUGGGGGAAGCAGCUGCCAGCAUCUUGCCGCCAUGAUUGGCACCAGACAGAUUCCUUAGUAGUGGUGACUGUCUAUGGCCGGAUUCCACUGCCUGCAUUCAACUGGGUGAAGGCCAGUCAAACAGAGCUUCAUGUCCACAUUGUCUUUGAUGAUAAUCGUAUUUUCCAAGCACAGAUGAAGCUCUGGGGGAUCUUUGCAGGUCAGUAUACCUCAAGAGCAGCCACUACUCAUCUGUCGUUGGAGGCUUGCAUGUUGCUAUGAUGCUGAAUAGUUUUCAGCAGAACUUCCAAACUAAAACAGACCAGGAAGAAAGGCCUGGCCAUCUAUUUCUGAAAAAUCAGCCAAUGAAAAUCCUAUGAUGACAACGGUCCGAUGCCAUUGUGCAUGGGGUCACCAUGAGUCAGGGUUUGACACCAUGGCAGCUAACAACAACAAAGAUGUUUCAUAUGAGUGGGAACCAGCAGCUUACUCUUGAGGGAGAUUUGGUAUGCAUAGGGGCUUUGGUGGACAUUUCUUUAGAGGCGUAAACUGCAUGUAGAAAAGUACAUAAAACAGACAUCUUAAAUGUACAGCUUGAUUAAUUUAUAUGUAUAUAUAUAUAUAUCCACCCUACCACCUUUGAGGAAACCCUGGUGACGUAAUGGUUAAGUGUUACGGAUGCUAACCAAAAGGUUGGCAGUUUGAAUCCACCGGGCACUCCUUGGAAACUAUGGGGCGGGGGGCUUUUUCCCCUAUUUUCUUAUCAAAAUCGGGGGACCAGCAAUUAUCCAGAAUUUCAGAGAUAAGGAAGCAAAAAAUUUAAGUAACCAUUGUUGUACAUAAACUUGAUAUAUAAAGUUUCAAACUUAUAGCAUUAAUAAAGUAGGGUGCUAGUUUAUUUUAUAUAGCCAAAGCCUAAAAUGUAAGAAAUUUUCAGGCAACUAUGUCACAUUAAUAAUAACAAUAAUAAUCAUACCUAACCAUUUCUAGAACAAACUACAUGCCAGGCAGUACAAUAAGUGCUUUGCAUGCAUUAUCUCAUUUAAUCCUCCAGUACCCACCAUCAAAUUUGCUCACAUUAGCAUAAAUGUUCUCCCUAUUUCCUUUUAUACUUCUCAUUUCUUAUAACUGGGGAAACUGUGUACAUGGAGUCUCUGGGUGGUAAAAAAGGUUAAGCACUUGACAGUUUGAAGUCAUCUAGAGGCACCUCCAAAGACAGGCCUGGCGAUCUGCUUCUGAAAGGUCAUAGCCUUGAAAACCCUAUGGAGCAGUUCUACUCUACACACAUGAGGUCGCCAUUAGUCAGAAUUGACUUGAUGGCAACUAACAACAACAACAUGCUUUGUAUCCUAUCCCCUCACACCUUCCCAGAAACCAUACACUAUUAAUUUAUCCUUUCUCUCUCGUUUAUUUAACCUUUCCCUCUCAAUGGAAUAUUUUCAUUGACAUUAAAACAUUCUUAAGCCUCUCCAAUCUUAUUUUUUAAAAAUUGCCUUGAGUUCACAUCCCCCGUCUUCAGCUUCCACUUAACUCCCUUCUCUCCUUUAUAACCAAACUUCUUGAAGUAAUUGUACUCUCUCUCCAUUUCCUUCCUCCUGCUCAUUUUACAACAUACUUCAAUCUGACUUAGAACCCCAUCAGUCUAUGGUGAUGAGGUCACCAUUGACUACCAGGUUACUAAAUCCAAUGGAUAUUUUCAGUCCUCAUCUUACUUGACCUCAGAAGCAAAGUUUGACACUCCUCAUGGUCAUCUCUUCCUUGGAAUACUUUCAUACAUUUGCUUCUGUGACCUAUCACUCUUCUUGGUUGUCUUUUUAUUUAUCUGGCCAUUCCUUUCAGUCUUCUGCAGGUUCCUCUUUUUCUACCUGGCUAUUUAAUGGUGAAGUUCCUCAGGACUAGUCCAAGGCAUUCUCUCUUUUUCUUAUAUAACUUUUCUAGAUGCUCUCAAUUAUGCCAUGACAUGUAGAUGACUCACACAUUUUUAUCUCUAGGCUAUAUCUUUCCUCUGAGGUCCAGAUCUGUGUAUUAAAGUAAUAAUACCUAACACGUAUUUUGAAACAGUAUCUGGCAUAGAUUAAGUAUUAUGUGUUUGCUGCUGUUAUUAUCAUUACUACUAUUACUCUUUUCACCAAGUUGGGGUGGUUUUAUUUUUGUUUGUUUGUUUUUGAUAGGAGGGACAUAUCUCUAAUAUCCAAUUUUAUAAUGUUUCAGUAAGGAAAUAGGAUCUGCUUGACCGUCAGGUUUUGCUAGUCUGAAAAGUGAUAAUGGAGUCCCUGGGUGGUACAAACGGUUAAUACGCUCAGCUGUGAACCAAAAGGUUGGAGGUUUGAGUUCACUCAGGCACCUUGGAAGAAAGGCCUGGUGAUCUACUUCUAAAAAAAUCAGCCAUUGAAAACCCUAUGAACACAGUUCUGCUCUGACACACAUGGGGUUGCCAUGAGUCGAGAUCGGCUGGACAGCAACUGAGAAAGUGAUAAUAUAUUUACCACCACAUCAUUGUAUCAGCUUCAGGAUUAAGGCAUAUCAUAUGCACUUGCCAAGGGAGUCAAGUAUGUAUAGAGUAUCACUGUGCUGGGCACUUUUACCUGUAAUAUUUUACUUAAUCCUCACAGCUGCUCUGUGAGGUAGGUAUUAUUCCAACUUUUUACAGCUGAGGAAACCAAGGCUCAGAGAAGGAAAUAGUGUGCUUGAAGUAACUCAAAAAAACCGAAAUCAAACCCAUUGUUGUCAAGUCGAUUCCAGCUCAUAGUGACCCUGUAGGACAGAGUAGAACUGCCCUGUAGGUUUUCCAAGGAGUGACUGGUGGAUUCGAGCUGCCGACCUUUUGGUUGCAGCUGAGCUCAUAACCACUGUGCCACCAGGGCUCCAAGGUAACACAGCUACUGAUUAAGGCCCCAGUCAUUGCUAAGAGCUGUCCUAGAUGCAUGAGGACAUCCAAAACCUAUGGAACCAACUGGACAGCACCUAACAACAACAGUCUUUGCGGAAGCAGACUGCCACAUCUUUUUUCUGAGGAGUGGCUGGUGGGUUCGAACCACUGACUUUUCAGUUAACAGCCAAGAGCUUUAACCACUGCGCCAACCGGGGUUCCUGGAGCUUGUGGUUACGUGGGUGCAUAUAUUCUCCAGAACCUAUCGACAUGUGUACUUAAGAGGAAUGAAUUUUGUUGUAUGUAAAUGAUACUACUGUACAGUUGAUUAAAAAAAAAAAUACGCUUCCUGAUUCAAAGAGGAAAGCCAAAAUCAACCAAAUCUUCACAAAACACACAUUGGUUCAUUUUUCGCUUAGCCUAAAGGAGUUUUACAUUUACUCACAGCAGGUUGUGGUGAAGAAUGCUGACAUCAUACCCCUCUUGACUAGCAGAAUACCUUUGACAAGUCUAACUGACUAGUACAGACUUCAGCCUGAUGAUUGCUUCCCUGCCUGUCCUGCUCUACAUACCAGCUGAGUGGAAAUCUGACACUACAUGGCCCCUCAUCCAUCUUAUCUUGCCUGGACCUCUGUUACUAUUUUUUGAGCUUUGACCCCAACCAUCUGUUUCAGUCCUGCUAAAGAGGUCCCAGCUUCUUCCUGAGUCACUCUCCAAGCCAGAUACCUUCCAUUUCCUUGGUCACAUGGACAGUUUCUCCACACCACUGAAAACAGGACAAUGAGUGUAGAAGAAACAUUGUAAAGAUGUUAUUGAUUUUACCAAUAUACAGAACAUACAGAGGUCAAUGGAACAUGUUAAAGUAUACAGCAUAGACGGAAUCAGCAACAUCCAGACUCUGUGAAACUCUACUAAAGAACAACCUGGUUUCUUCAAUAAAAACUUGCAAGGAAAAAAAGAGAUGGAGGGGGAACUUCUACCUUAAAGUAAUUUAUAACUCAUAUCCACCAAUCACAGUGUAUGGACUUUAUUUCAACACUGAUCCAAACAAAAAAAAGUUUUAAAAACACCAAAAAAUUGACACUUAUGAGACUACUGGAAAUUUGAAAACUGACUGGAUAUGAAGGGAUUAUUACUUAUUUUAUGUGUGCUAAUGCUAUAUUUUUUAAUGCUAUUGCAAUUAUGCUCUUAAAAAAGAAUCCUUACCUUUUAGAGAUUCAUACUUAAUUAUUUAAGUAUGGAAUGAUGUUUUGCUCUAAAAUAAUAUGGGAAGAAGUGACUGGGGGCAUAGAUGAAACAAGAUUGUCCAAAAGUUGAUACUAGUGGAAGCUGAAUGUUUGGUAAAGGAAGGUUCAAUAUACUAUCUUGCCUACUUUUUAUACAUGUUUUGAAUUCUCCAUAAAAAGUUUUAAAACAAUGUUAUUGAAUUAUAAAGCAUCUGAUUAAAGUGUGUAUAUUAGUCUGAAUGAGUGGGAACAGGAGGAGCUGGAAUUUGAGAAGAGGAAAAAGUCUGGAAUAGAUAGCCUCUGUGGGGAGAGUGCCAGGGAAUGUAUGAGACAAAUAAAAGGGUUGCUGAGCAGCUGCAAGGGCUAAGCUGAAAUUGGACAGCAUGAACUUGUAUUGGUUUAGCAAUGUUCUGGGAUUUGGGGAGUAGAAAAGGACAGUGGAGGCAGGGGGUCCUGGAGACAGUAACACUGAAGUGGCUGUCCGUGGACUGGGGUGAGAGAGGAAUCUAGUGUAACUAGGAGAUAAUUACUGAUCUGUGUGAAGUGAGAGACAGUAUCUAGGGGUUCCACUGAGGUUAGAGUUCAGGUGAUAAGUGAUGUAAAAGCUGUUUGGGAAAGCCUUAUAUCAAUGUAAGAUAUUGAUCAACCAAGGGCUUCCCUGGCCUCCAUUUAGGCUUGACAGAAGGACUCUGCUAGGCUAGAGAGAUAUGGUGUCAGGCUCCUUUUCUAAGAUCCCUGUUGGGUCCUUAGGUUUUAGAUAUUCUCAAAUGGCCCUAGGACAGCUCUUAGCAAUGACUGAUGUUGUAAUCAGAUGGAUUUCAUCUCUGAAACUCGAGCUUCUGCAAGAGGCAUGGCAAAUAGUAAUAAAGAAAGAAAUUUAUUGAGGCCUUUACUAUGAUCUGGGCACUGAACAAAAUUUUAUAUAUAUAUAUAUUUUGAAUCCACCAGCCGCUCCUUGGAAACCCCAUGGGGCAGUUCUACUCUGUCCUGUAUAAUCACUAUGAGUUGGAAUCUACUCAACAGCCAUAGGUUUGGUUUUUGUUUUCUAUAUGUAUAUAUAUAUGCACAUAUCAUAUAUAUUUUUCUCAUUUAAUUCCUACAACAGUGUAUUAAGAAUUAGAAUUGCCAUUUGUUUAACAGAUAGGAAAACCAAAUCUCAGGGAGGUUACAUAAUUUUUCCCAGUUCACACAGCUUGCAAAUGGCAGAGCUGGGACCCAAGUCUAGAUCUGAGUAUAAUACAGUACUUUCUAGCAAUCAAUCAUCUCCCUCCAUUAAGUGAAUCUUAUUUUGCCUUAUAGACUACACUGAAAGCUUUUAGUAAGGGAUUAAUCCAGCAAGAUAGAAGAGAAGCUUGGAGGCAGUCAAACCAGUUGAAGAUAAUUGCAGUGGUCCAAGGGAGAAAGAUGAGACUCCAAACUAAGUGGGUGUGGUAGUAAGAAUGGAAGGGAGGGCAAUGGAUUCAAGAUAUAGUUCCACAGGAGGAGUAAAAGUAAUGUGGCCGUAUUAAAAGUAAUAUGCCAUGCUGCAUAUGAAUAUAUGCAGCUCACUCCUUCCUCAGCGCUUCUAUACUAUUUGAUCCCCCAGCCUGGAAUAUGCUUCCUCUAGAUCUUUGAAUAGCUGGCUUCUUGUCAUUCAGGCCUCAGCUCAAAUACCACUUCUCAUGAUAGAGAGCCAAUUAAUUAUCUUGAAAACUGGCCAAUAAAACAAAAGAAUCAAGCACUUAUCCUGCCUUUCCUAUAUGAACCGCACAAUUGGGUAACAAAAUAGUAGAUGAAGGUAUUUGUCUUUUUAUAAAAGUAUUCAGACUAAUAAAAAGAAAGAAAUGGAAUACCACCAUUUUGCAGCCCUCAAUAAAUAGAUAAAGGUAGUAAGCACCGACAGCUUCUAAGAUCACAAAGAGAGACAGCAGGCAUUAUGUGCCUCCUUAGUCUUGUCAAAGGGAUAGAACCUGAGUCUGAUUUAGUCUUUGGAUCCAUCUGCCAAUUUGCAGGAAUCCAGAGGACAAAGGGACUACACAAUGAGUAUGAAAUCAGCAAAAUCCAGACUAGGAGAAACUCUACAGUUCAAAUGGCUUGAGUUCUUCCAUAGAUACGUUGUAAGGAAAGGAAAGAUACAUAAGAAACCAAAAACCAAAUCCACAUUCCAACUCAUAGUGACCCUACAGGACAGAGUAGAACUGUCCCAUAGAGUUUCCCAGGAGUGCCUGGUGGAUUUGAACUGCCGACCUUUUGGUUUGCAGCCGUAGCACUUAACCACUACGCCACCAGGAUUUCCAGAUACAUAAGGGGUACCUGUAAAUUAAGAAGCCCCAGUGACGCAGUGGUUAAGAGCUCAGGCCUUGAAAACCCUAUGGGGCAGUUCUACUCUGGCCUAUAGGGUCGCUAUGAGUCGAAAUCAACUUGAUGGCAAUGGUUUUUUUUUUUGGUGGUGGUGCAGUAGUUAAGCACUCGGCUGCUAACUGAAAGUUUGGCACUUCAAACCCACCAGCUGCUCCGUGGGAGAAAGAUGUGGCAGUCUUCUUCCAUAAAGAUUUAAAGCCUUGGAAACCCUAUGGGGCAAUUCUACGCUGUCCUUUAGGAUCUCUAUGAGUCAGAAUUGACUCGGCAGCCGUGGGUAGUGGGUAAGGAUGCAUAUUUAUUUGUUGAUAAAACUAUUUUUUUAAACCCUGCAAGGAAGUGAUUACUAUAAAAGCAUAGGGGUUACUUAUGGGGAGAAGAGAGUUGUGAUUGGCAUACGACACAUGGAAGGCUUCAGUGAUGGGUGGAGAUCUCUUUCUUGACCUGAUUAGUGUUUACUUAAAAUAAUAAACCAUACAUUCGAUUUGUAUAGUUUCCUGUGUAUCUGCUUUAUUUUACAGUAAAGAUCUUUAAAAAUUCAAAAAUAUCACUUCUCAUAGAGUCCUUUCUUGACCAUCUAAAUUAAUACCUACUGUCCAAGUCACAGAAACCCUGGUGGCAUAGCGGUUAAGUGCUACAGCUGCUAACCAAAAUGUCAGCAGUUUGAAUCCACCAGGCACUCCUUGGAAACUAUGGGGUGGUUCUACUCUGUCCUAUAGGGUCUCAAUGAGUUGGAAUCAACUUUAUGGCAGUGGAUUUGGUUUGGUUUUUUGGUCUAAGUCAUUAUUACUGUUUGAUUUUUCCCCAUAGCCCUUAUCAGCUGAGGUUUCCUUACAUGAGAAGCAAUAAUAAUAGUUAAGAGGAAAGACUGUAAUGUCAGGCUGCCUGGGUUCAAAUCUUGGCUGUGCCUCUUACUAGGUGUAUAACCUUGGACUCCUUAAGAUUUCCGUACCUCAGCUUUCUCAAAUAUAAAAUGGGGGUGGUAACAGUGCCCUUGUCAUUGGGUCAUCAGAAGUAUUAAACAAGUUAACAUAUUUGAAGUGCUUAGCACAGUGCCAGGUACUGGUAAGCAUUAUAAAAAUCUUAAGAAUAUGGUUUGCAUAAUGAUUUGUCAUUAAUUGCUGUCAAGUCUGCUUCACGCAUUGCCCGAGGUCCUGCGCCAUCUUCAUGAUGGUUGGUAUGUUUGAGUUCGUUGUUGUGGCUAUUGUGUCAAUCCAUUACAUUAUUUCUCUUUUACUAGAAUGUAAGUCUGUCUUAGUAUACUAUUCCCAGCACCUAAAAGAGUGUCCAGUACCUACGUAAUAUGUACUCAACAAGUAUUUGUUGAAUGAAGGGCCUGAAUUAGGGUGGAAACAGAAUGGAUAGGAGAGGCGUAUAAGAUAUUAAAGAGAGAGAGAGAAAAAAAAACCUUUGAACUUGAUUUUUUUUUUGGUCUGAUACAGGAGGGAAGGUUAUAAGCCUCUCCAAGGCUUCAAGCUUAAGUAACAGUUAGAAGGCUAGUGCUUUUAACAGAAAUAGGAAAACCAAGAACUAGAGCUAAUGUAAUUCUAAUACUAUUCUGGUACUGAAUUUUAUUUUAGAUAUUAUGAGUUUGAAGUGAUGGCAAAACUUACAAGUGAAAUGUUAGCAGGCAGUUAACUGUAAAUGCAGAAUUGGAAUUGGUGAGAAAUGUCAACACUGAAGAUAACAUUUGAGUAUCUACAUCAAUGUGACACUUAAAUGUUCAACAUUCUGGUAUGAGCUUCCUUUAUUUUUAGAAAACAAACCUUUUAACUAUUUUGAAUUAUGAAAAGUAAUGCAUGCUAGUUACAACAAAUACGAAUGCAGAAGUAAAUAAAAUUGUAAAAGAUUUGAACCCUCAGAGAAACCCUGAAACUAUGGCCCCCGCACACCCUUUCAACUCAGUAAUGAGGCCACUCCUGAGGUUCACCCUUCAGCCAAAGAUUGAACAGGCCCAUGGAACAAAACAAGACUAAAGGGGUGCACCAGCCUUGGGGCAAGGACUAGAAAGUAAGAGGGAACAGGAAAGCUGGUAAUAGGGAACCCAGGGAUGAGAAGGGAAAGUGUUGACAUGUUGUGGGGUUGUUAACCAAUGUCACAGAACAAUGUGUGUACUAACUGAUGAGAAGCUAGUUUGUUUGUAAACCUUCAUCUAAAGUACCAUAAAAAAAAAAAAGAUUUGAACCCUCAAAUUUAUUCUUCAGAGGAUUUCUCUGUUAGCAAUUUGACACGUAUCCUUCUAAACAAUUUUCUAUGUAUUUGCAAAUUUAUAUUGGGAUACAACAUGCAGAGGCAUAGAAAAAGUCUGACAGGGUACCUACAUACAUAUGGAGAAGUUUUUAUUUUUUUUUGGCCUAAUUGAAAUCAUUCUGUAAUAUUGUUAUGUAAGUUGCUUAAUGGCUAAAUGUAUCACUUCAUAGUUCUUGAAGAUAUCUCCAUGUCAGUACAUAUAGAUCCCUGACAUGCUUUUUUUUUGUGCCAUAUAGUACUUUUUUGUAUGGACGUGCCAUAGUUUUAACUAUAUCCCUAUUGAAGGAUACUUAGAUUGUUUCUAUUUUUUUAUUUUUACAAUUUAUGCAGCAAUGAAAUUUUUGUACAUGUAGCUUUGGGUAUUCAUGCUAACAUUUCUUGAGGAUAGAUUCCUAGAAGUGGGAUUGCUGGGUAAAAAGGCAUAUACAUGUAACGUUUUAAUAAAUACUGCUAAAUUUCUAUCCACAAAGGCUGUUCCAAUUUACAUGGCCACCCAACAGUGUAUGAGAUACCGUUUUCCCCAAUACCCUCAUCCAUACUUAUAUCAAUUAAAAUUGUAUUUAAAACAACCAGAUAUGCAAAUAAUGGUAUCUCAUUUUUAUUUUGCAUUUCCUUUGAUUACAACAAACGGUAUUUUUUACUAAAUAUUCAUGAAUAGACCUUCGAUUAAACUCUUUUCAGUUCCAUAUGUCACACACAUUCCAGCUCUACCUGAUGUCUUGGAUUAUGGAGCCCCUUCUCGUCUGUCUUCCUCCCAGCUACUGUUUCAGCUACUAUUCCUCAAAUGGCUUUCCUGCCUCUAUAAAACCACUGGAACUUUUUGUCCUUUUGGGUUUAUGUAUAUUUUAUAUAUUCUAUUAGCAUACUUUUAGUGGUGUAUCAGAAGGGAUUUGAAAUGCUGUGUUUAUCAUAUACUUAAUUUCUACACAUAACUGCCUCUUUUUCAUUUCCAUUCAUCUAUUCUUUUUAUUAAUUUUUUAUUGUACUUCAGAUGACUGUUUACAGAGCAAAUUAUUUGCUCAUUAAACAGUUACUACAUAUAUUGUUUUGAGACAUUGGUUGCCAACCCCACGACAUGUCAGCACUCUCCCCUUCUUGACCUUGGGUUCCCUAUUACCAGCUUUCCUGUUCCUUCCUGCCUUCUUGUCCUUGCCCCUGGGUUGGUGUGCCCAUUUAGUCUCAUUUUCUUUUAUGGGCCUGUCUAGUCUUUGGCUGAAGGGUGAACCUCAGGAGUGACUUUAGUACUGAGUUAAAAGGGUGUCCGGGGGCCAUGCUCUCGAGGUUUCUCCAGUCUCUGUCGGACCCAUAAGUCUAGUCUUUUUUUUGUGAGUUAGGAUUUUGCUCUGCAUUUUUCUCUGGCUCUGUGCAAGACCCUCUAUUGUGAUCCCUGUCAGAACAGUCAGUGGUGGUAGCUGGGCGCCAUCUACCUGUGCUGGACUCAGUCUGGUGGAGACUGUGGCAGUUGUGGUCCAUUAGUCCUUUGGACUAAUCUUUCCCUUGUGUCUUUGGUUUUCUUCAUUCUGCCUUGCUCCAGAUGGGGCGAGACCAGUGGAGCAUCUUAAAUGAUUGCUUACAAGCUUUUAAGACCCCAGAUACUACUUGCCAAAGUAGGAUGUAGAACAUUUUCUUUAUAAGCUAGAUGAGCUUAUAAUUGAGCUAGAUAUCCCCGGAGACCAUGGUCUCCAGCCCUCAGCCCAGUAAUUCAAUCCCUCCGGGAGUUUGGAUGUGUCUAUGGUGCUUCCAUGACCUUGCCUUGGUCAGGUUGUGUCAAGUUCCCCAAUAUUGUGUACUGUCUUACCCUUCACCAAAGUUACCACUUACCUAUUGCCUAGGUAGUGUUUUACCCUCCCACCCUUCUGGUCUCUUGUAACCAUCAAAGAUUGUUUCUUUCUGUGUGUAAACCUUUUCAUGAGUUUUUAAAAUAUUUGUUGUUUUAUGAUUGACUUCUUUCGCUUAGCAUAAUGCCCUCCAGAUUCACCCAUGUUGUGAGAUGUUUUGCAGAUUCAUUAUUGUUCUGUAUUGUUGCAUAUAUUUAUCUAUUCUUGAACCAUAAAAAAAAAUCACAGCUUUAAAUAAUUUGCUAUCUGGUAGUCAGGUUAAUACUUUCUUGGCUCUUUUUGUAUAUUCUUCCAGAUAAAUUUCAGAAUUAACUUGUCUAGUUUCCCCAGAUUGCCCCCCAAAAUUCCAAUGGUAUUGUUAUUGGAAAUUAUAGUUAUUUGACAAUGUUUUGAUUACGACACUUCUUAUCCAGGAAUAUUUUACUUCUUUCCACUUAUCAGAUCUUCAUACUUUUAGCUUUCGGUAAAGUUUUGUACAUUUAUUCAUAUAAAUGUUUCGUACAUUUCUUGUUAGGUUUAUUCUCUUGUCAGUUUUUUUUCAUUAUUGUGAGAUCUUUUUCCUGCCAUUUAUAUUUUCUAAAUGGAUAUUGUUUUUAUUUUUAUUGUGCCUUAAGUGCAAAUUUGCAAGUCCAGUCAGUCCCUCAUACAAAAAUUUAUAUACACCUUGCUAUGUACUCCGCCAGGCACUCCUUGGAAACUCUAUGGGGCAGUUCUACUCUGUCCUAUAGGGUCGCUAUGAGUCGGAAUGGACUCGAUGGCACAGGGUUUUUUUUUAUGUACUCCUAGUUGCUCUUCCCCUAAUGAGACAGCACUCUUCUCUCCACCUUGUAUUCCCCAUGUCCAUUCAGCCAGCUUCUGUCCCCCUCUGCCUUCUCAUCUUCCCUCCAGACAGGAGCUGCCCACAUAGUCUCCUAUGUCUACUUGAGCCAAGAAGCUCACUCCUCACCAGUAUCAUUUUCUAUCUUAUACUCCCGUCCAAUGCCUGUCUGAAGAGAGUUGGC
This is an RNA transcript of Loxodonta africana (African savanna elephant), 12666 nucleotides long. It is a transcript of the gene named integrin subunit beta 1 binding protein 2, with no coding region annotated. The transcript has 12 exons. The record is from RefSeq and is a predicted model, not a curated record. Lineage: Eukaryota; Metazoa; Chordata; Mammalia; Proboscidea; Elephantidae.